GAUGAACGCUGGCGGCGUGCCUAAUACAUGCAAGUCGAGCGAACAGACGAGGAGCUUGCUUCUCUGACGUUAGCGGCGGACGGGUGAGUAACACGUGGAUAACCUACCUAUAAGACUGGGAUAACUUCGGGAAACCGGAGCUAAUACCGGAUAAUAUAUUGAACCGCAUGGUUCAAUAGUGAAAGACGGUUUUGCUGUCACUUAUAGAUGGAUCCGCGCCGCAUUAGCUAGUUGGUAAGGUAACGGCUUACCAAGGCAACGAUGCGUAGCCGACCUGGGAGGGUGAUCGGCCACACUGGAACUGAGACACGGUCCAGACUCCUACGGGAGGCAGCAGUAGGGAAUCUUCCGCAAUGGGCGAAAGCCUGACGGAGCAACGCCGCGUGAGUGAUGAAGGUCUUCGGAUCGUAAAACUCUGUUAUUAGGGAAGAACAAAUGUGUAAGUAACUAUGCACGUCUUGACGGUACCUAAUCAGAAAGCCACGGCUAACUACGUG
RNAcentral lists this ribosomal RNA (497 nucleotides) under uncultured bacterium. RNAcentral describes it as "partial 16S ribosomal RNA". It matches the Rfam family "Bacterial small subunit ribosomal RNA", at positions 28 to 507 of the family's 1533-position model. The record is from RNAcentral.